Molecule: ribosomal RNA, 237 nt
Filed under: uncultured bacterium
Lineage: Bacteria
Description: partial 16S ribosomal RNA
Rfam family: Bacterial small subunit ribosomal RNA
Source: RNAcentral
UCGGAGGCAGUGGCAGACGGGUGAGUAAUGCAUGGGAAUCUACCGUUCUCUACGGAAUAACUCAGGGAAACUUGUGCUAAUACCGUAUACGCCCUUUUGGGGGAAAGAUUUAUCGGAGAAUGAUGAGCCCAUGUUGGAUUAGCUAGUUGGUAGGGUAAAGGCCUACCAAGGCGACGAUCCAUAGCUGGUCUGAGAGGAUGAUCAGCCACACUGGGACUGAGACACGGCCCAGACUCC